Long non-coding RNA from Nanorana parkeri, 100 nucleotides. RefSeq lists it as uncharacterized. The transcript is spliced from 3 exons. The record is from RefSeq and is a predicted model, not a curated record. Lineage: Eukaryota; Metazoa; Chordata; Amphibia; Anura; Dicroglossidae.
UAAUUUUGCCUUUUGAAAGCAGGAAGUGAAUGCUCUGCAAGUGUAAGUAUUUCAUAAUCACAGAAUUUUACACAUGACAUGUCUAUUAUUAAAUAGUAUA